GAUUACAUAGAUUGAUAGAUAUAAGUGCAGCUGUGGGUACUCCAAAGGGCCUUGUUGUGCCAGUUAUCCGCAAUGCUGAUAAGAUGAAUUGUGGUGAGAUUAAGAAAGAGAUCAAUUCGCUUGCAAAGAAGGCAAAUGAGGGACGUCUUUCAAUUGAUAUGGCUGGAGGUUCAUUUACAAUAUCCAAUGGUGGAUUUUAUGGAGCCUUAUAAGUACCCCCAUCAUCAACCCUCCUCAGGUCUGAUUCUUUAUCUGACCCAAUUGACCGGACUUUGAUCGUCUUACUGCAACAAAUGGAACUCACAUCAGUUCUAUGCUUAAUUAUGUACCUAGUGAAGCUUCUUUAAUUUGUAGCAAAAGUACCUUUUCCAUUAUAUGAUAGCUAAGUACCUUUAUACGACAUCCAGUAUAUAUUUGUUUCUUUUACUUUUGCAAAGUUCACUCAAGAAAUUUCAGCUGCAGAAGCAUUGUAAAUGUGAUUACUUGAAAUAGUUCUCUAUUAAUAUAUUGCAAUUUCAUUUUGAUUUCUUGAA
Molecule: long non-coding RNA, 533 nt
Organism: Rosa rugosa (rugosa rose)
Lineage: Eukaryota; Viridiplantae; Streptophyta; Magnoliopsida; Rosales; Rosaceae
Exons: 2
Source: RefSeq, a predicted model, not a curated record